This 3950-nucleotide long non-coding RNA is filed under the name Canis lupus familiaris (dog). RNAcentral's name for it is "lncRNA (ENSCAFG00845005061.1)". The record is from RNAcentral. Lineage: Eukaryota; Metazoa; Chordata; Mammalia; Carnivora; Canidae.
UUUUAUUUAUUUAUGAUAGUCACACACAGAGAGAAAGAGAGAGAGGCAGAGACAUAGACAGAGGGAGAAGCAGGCUCCAUGCAGGGAGCCCGACGUGGGAUUCGAUCCCGGGUCUCCAGGAUCGCGCCCUGGGCCAAAGGCAGGCGCUAAACCGCUGUGCCACCCAGGGAUCCCUCUUCCUCUCUUUCAACUCUGUGUGAAGCAUUAGGCUCUGAUUCCUUCCAGUUUUGCUCAUCUUGGGCAUUGUGGUUAUCUUCUCAAGGUGUUUUUCCCUUCUUAUGCUUCCCUUCUUUUAAGGUAUCCCAACCUCUCCCCAUAACCUACCCGACUUCUUUAAGGGGAGCGCAUGUGACUCAGGCAUAACCCAAUCAGCAUACUCCCAUCUCUGACCAAUCAAAUCAGACCAAUAAGUAGUGAGGCACAGUUUGCUGGAACAUUGAGGGAAGGAGCUUCCUUGUUCUUAUAGAGAAGGCAUCUUAAAGAGACCCUUUCCCUCACUGGAUCUGGAUGAAGGCGGCUGCAGUCCCAGAAAUUGUUGGCAGCCGAUUUUCCCCCCGGGGGUGGGAUGUGGGGGAUAGGGAGAAACGACUGGUGUGGCUGAGAGCAAAGGGGAGUGAUUAAGUGAUAUAGACAGGUACUUGAUGGUAUCACUGAAAUGCUGAAUCAAACUACCCUUGAAAUUCACUUAAUCUCUAGAUUUGCCAGUUAUUUGAACCAAUAGAUCUCCUUUAUUGUUUAAGUCAAUUUGAACUAACUUUUUUCUUAUUUGUAGCCCUAAUGCAUCCUAAAUGCUAUUGAUCAUUCCAUUAAGCAGGGCAAUUUGGCAAUGUUCAAAAGCCUUAAAAAAUAUAUGUAUUUGAGCCAUAUUCUCUGAGCCAGCAGUUCCUCUUCUAGGAAUUUAUCCUAAUAGUUGAAAAUCUAUAAAGAUUUAUAAGCAUAAGCUUCACAAUAUUUCUUAGAAUAGAAUACCUAAAAUGAAUUUCUAAUGUGCAGCUAAUCAAGUAUAUUGGAGUAUAAGGAUACUUCUGAACACAAUGAAGCCCUGGAAGCUGAUAAAUAAGGUAGCUAUAUAUAUUGGACAGUGAAAGCUGUGCCUUGUGUAGUAGUAAAAAUACCGCAGGUGAUAGACAGCAUUUUAUUAAUCCAUUUUAUUCAACACAAUCCAAUAAUAAUGCUAAUGCCUUUGAGCUUUAAAUAUCAAGAGCUUUGUACACAUUUUGCAGAGCUUUUUCAUCCUGGUUCCACCAAAACUACCUAGAAUACACACACACACACAGGUACACACACAAAACAAGCCAGGGCUGCAUAGUUAACUCAGGCUCUCUAGGGAGAGGAGACACAUGCAGAAUUUUUAAAAGAUCUUGGGUGAUUUUAAUGCAUUGGUAAGACUGAAAAAUCAUAGUAUUGUCUUUUACCCUCAAGACAAUGCUUUAUUUGUACCACCUUCCUUGUACGAUUGAAGAAAUCUUAGAAAGGUUAAGUACUUCACCUCCUAUAACAUAAAAGACUCUACCCAGGGCUGUCUAACUUUAAAAAUCAUCUUGACAAAGGGCACCUGGGUGGCUCAGUGGUUGAGAAUCUGCCUCCAUCCCAGAUCCUGAUCCUAGGAUCAAGUCCCACAUCAGGCUUCCCCGCAGGGAGCCUGCUUCUCUCUCUGCCUAGGUCUCUGCCUCUCUGUGUGUUUCUCAUGAAUAAAUAAAUAAAUAAAUAAAUAAAUAAAUAAAUAAAUAAAUAAAUAAAUAAAUUCGAAAAAAAAAAAAUCUUGACAAUGAUAUCAGAUUGUCUUUCACUGACCAAGAGUGAAUAUGGGAAGAAUUUGGGUACAAAGAAUAAAGGCCAAAAGACUCACAAAAGCAUUGUGAAAUCUUUGGGUAAUGAGAUUACCAGUAAUUUGGAUGCUUUCUUACAGACUUAAAUGUUACUUUUCAUACCCAAUAUGCCUUUGUGUUGUAAAGCAUGUACAUGUAUAUGUACAUGUUUAUAUAUAGAUGUAUAUGCAUGUCUUAUGGUUGCUGCCACCAUCAUUUCACUACUUUUCAAAACCUCUGCUACAUCUGUCACUAGCACAUCUAUAGUGUUGCUGUCCAGAACACUAUCUUUUCUGGGGAGACUCCUGUUGCUUCUGAAUAUCAAAGUGCUUCUUAUCCCUCAUUUACCUCUAAACACUAGCUCAAGAGUUCAAAAGUAACAUUUCCAUAUAUAGGAAAUAACCAACAAAAACAUAAGAAGCCUAAGAAUACUAAGGCUUACCCAAAGAGGUUACUAAUCACGCACAUUCACGUGUGAAUCAGAAGCUAGCUCCUAAACAUGGCCAUUUUAGCAUCAUCUAAAACAACUGAAUGCUGUUUUACUGGACUUUUAAGAACUUGAUUAGCAAAAUCCCAUUUUAUGUUUUAGUUUUAGACCUACUCUGAUUUCAUCCUGGUUUGCUGAGGAAAGGCAAAAUGUGCUUUCUCAAGAUCAAUGCCUCGUGAAAAUAGGUAUGCACUAUUUUUAGUUUUCUGACAAUACAAUUUUCAGAAUGUUUGCUCUGAUCACACUCCCAAAGAUAUUUUCCUUAAGAAUUUUCCCAUGCAGAUUAUUCAAGAAGCUCAUUGCUUUUGAGUUCAGACCCUGGAUUUAUGAGGUCCUUCCCCAAAUGAACCCUCCUGAUAGCUUGCCCUGCUUUCACCCUACCAGGUUCUAGAUGUCCCUGACUCAAAGCAACUCCAUCAACAGUUUAAUAGCUCUUUUGAGGAAAAGUUCUAUAGGUAACAAUGUUUGAAAAAUCACCCAUCUGAACCAACACCUUCAUUUAUCAGAGGAGACAAUAGCCCCUAGAGGGGAAAAGCACCUGUAGUCCAGCUUCCUACAUGACACCAGGGCUCAGGCCCCUGACCCUUCAUCAAUGACAGUGAGUCUAUUUGUUUCCACUGCUGCUACAACACAUUGCAACAAGUUUAAAGGCUUAAAAACAACACCAGUUUAUCAUUUCAUGGUUCUGGAGGUCAGAAGUUUGACAUGGGUCUCCUAAGGCUGUAUUCCUUCCUAAAGGUUCUAAGGGAGAAUGUUUUCUUGCUUUUCUCAGUUCCUAGGGGCAGCCUGUAUAUCUUCGUCUGUGGCCCCUUUGUCCAUCUGCAUUCAGCGCCAGCGCAGUUGGGUGGAGCCCUUUUCAUGUUGCUAUCUAUCCUGGUUCACUCUUCCAUAGACCAAUGUGAUUGGAUUGGGCUCACAUAGAUAAUUCAGAUCAUUUUCCCAUCUCAAGGGUACUCACAUUUACACAAUAUCUUUGGCCAAAUAAGGUAACAGUUCCUGGUUCUGGGAAUGAGAUGUGGACAUCUUGUAGAGCCAUUAAUCUGUGGACUGUGUGUAUUGUUUUUUUUUCUGUCCUAGUACAACUCAUUAAUACCAACUUGCCAAAGCAGUGAUUCCCAAGCAUAGAAAUAUAGAUCUCCUAACAAAAUCCAUCAGGAUGGGGGUAGAGAUAAGAAAUGAAAACCAUUUUCAAUAUUUUCAAUUUUUUUUUUUGUUUUUAGUCGUAAAUGCCCUCUAUUUUAAGCACAGUAUGUAUGGACUCAACACUGACUGUAACUUCAUUUUUUGCAUAUUCUCAUAUAGUUUAUAAGUUAUAUGCAAGGGAAACAUUUUAUAGGUAUCAGAUAUGUAACUAAAACAAAGAAGAGGGGUUAGGAGUAUUUUCCUAGAAAAGAAAUGUGUAUUCUGAUAUAAGGGCUCAGCAAAGUAGAAUUUUCAGGUUGCAUGCUAUCACAUGCUUUAUUUCCAAUCAGUCCCAUGCAAAAUGUGAACUUUAUUGCCAAGGAAAUUUGUGUCCUUAAAUGGUUGAGUAACAGGACAGAACUUUUUUUUUUUUUUUAAACAAAUUGGUAACUCAACCUUCCAAGGGCAAACAUGUCAAGUCUCUUUGAUAAAUAGCCUUUUGGCAUUAGCAAGUGGCUCUGGGCAAUGUCAAA